GCCGAUGUAGCUCAAUGGUAGAGCAAUCGCCUUGUAAGUGAUAGGUUAUGGGUUCGAUUCCCAUCAUCGGCU
This 72-nucleotide transfer RNA is filed under the name bacterium. RNAcentral describes it as "tRNA-Thr". It matches the Rfam family "tRNA". Rfam says of the family: Transfer RNA (tRNA) molecules are approximately 80 nucleotides in length. Their secondary structure includes four short double-helical elements and three loops (D, anti-codon, and T loops). RNAcentral also lists the same sequence under 6 other names. The record is from RNAcentral.